UCAUCCAGACUGGACCCCAUCAUCCAGACUGGACCACGCCAUCCAGACUGUGUCCCCAUCAUCCAGGACUGGACCCCGUCAUCCAGACUGGGCCCCCGUCAUCCAGACUGGACCCCAUCAUCCAAACUGGGCCCCCGUCAUCCAGACUGGACCCCCAUCAUCCAGACAGGAAUCCCAUCAUCCAGACAGGACCCCCCAUCAUCCAGACUGGACCCCCAUCAUCCACACUGGACCCCCGUCAUCCAGACUGGGUCCCCAUCAUCCAGACUGUACCACAUCAUCCAGACUGGACCCCCAUCAUCCAGACAGGACCCCCAUCAUCCAGAAUGGACCCCCAUCAUCCAGACUGGACCCCCGUCAUCCAGACUGGGCCCCCAUCAUCCGACUGGACCCCCAUCAUCCAGACUGUACCACAUCAUCCAGA
Molecule: long non-coding RNA, 424 nt
Filed under: Felis catus (domestic cat)
Lineage: Eukaryota; Metazoa; Chordata; Mammalia; Carnivora; Felidae
Description: lncRNA (ENSFCAG00000050720.1)
Source: RNAcentral